RNAcentral lists this transfer RNA (64 nucleotides) under Hemithyrsocera vittata. Its description in RNAcentral is "tRNA-His". Lineage: Eukaryota; Metazoa; Arthropoda; Insecta; Blattodea; Blattellidae. The record is from RNAcentral.
ACUUAAGUAGUUUAAAGUAAAAUAUUGAUUUGUGGUGUCAUUGAUACUAGAUUAGUCUUAGGUC